ACUCAAGUUAGUAUGUGAAAUAUGAAUGUUAGUUUCUCUGCAUCCUGCUUUCCUUGGAUCAAGCAAACUGUGAAAUAGGUGGAUAAAUAUGUUGUUAAGGUUGUCCCCUUUGUUGAUUUUCUUAGUGAUUUCACUUUGAGGCAGUCAUGUAGUUUUUCGCCGGGGCUUCUUGUUAUGUUGAGGGGAUAUAGUGUAGUGGGAUUGGUUUUUAUUUUUUAUUUUUUG
This 225-nucleotide long non-coding RNA is filed under the name Panax ginseng (ginseng). RNAcentral describes it as "long non-coding RNA (PGIN_LNC013911)". Lineage: Eukaryota; Viridiplantae; Streptophyta; Magnoliopsida; Apiales; Araliaceae. The record is from RNAcentral.